GAUGAACGCUGGCGGCGUGCCUAAUACAUGCAAGUCGAGCGAACGGACGAGAAGCUUGCUUCUCUGAUGUUAGCGGCGGACGGGUGAGUAACACGUGGAUAACCUACCUAUAAGACUGGGAUAACUUCGGGAAACCGGAGCUAAUACCGGAUAAUAUUUUGAACCGCAUGGUUCAAAAGUGAAAGACGGUCUUGCUGUCACUUAUAGAUGGAUCCGCGCUGCAUUAGCUAGUUGGUAAGGUAACGGCUUACCAAGGCAACGAUGCAUAGCCGACCUCAGAGGCUGAUAGGCCACACUGGAACUGGGACACGGUCCAGACUCCUACGGGAGGCAGCAGUAGGGAAUCUUCCGCAACGGGCGAAAGCCUGACGGAGCAACGCCGCGUGAGUGAUGAAGGUCUUCGGAUCGUAAAACUCUGUUAUUAGGGAAGAACAUAUGUGUAAGUAACUGUGCACAUCUUGACGGUACCUAAUCAGAAAGCCCCGGCUAACUACGUG
This 497-nucleotide ribosomal RNA is filed under the name uncultured bacterium. RNAcentral's name for it is "partial 16S ribosomal RNA". It matches the Rfam family "Bacterial small subunit ribosomal RNA", at positions 28 to 507 of the family's 1533-position model. The record is from RNAcentral.